UCUCAUGAGAGUUGUCUUAGAAAGCACUUUAAGAGAUCUCCAACAAACAAAGAGCUGGAUUUCUGGAUUGCCUGGGCCUGGGCCUGGGAUCCUUGGUUUAAAAAGAGUCACUGUCAUAAACAGAGUUAUUUUAUGAACAGGGGAGGGACAAAGAGAGGAGGAGGACAGAGCAUCUGAAGCUGGCUCUGUGCUGACAGCAGCGAGCCUAAUGCAGGGCUUGAACUCAAACCCAUGAGAUCAUGACCUGACCCAAAGUCGUAUGCUCAACCGACUGAGCCACCCAGGUGCCUCAGUGGAUGCUGAAGUCAUUGAUCUGAGGCAUUUCUUCUUUUCCAAUGUAAGUAUUUG
This is a long non-coding RNA of Neofelis nebulosa (Clouded leopard), 348 nucleotides long. RefSeq lists it as uncharacterized. The transcript is spliced from 3 exons. Lineage: Eukaryota; Metazoa; Chordata; Mammalia; Carnivora; Felidae. The record is from RefSeq and is a predicted model, not a curated record.